RNAcentral lists this ribosomal RNA (698 nucleotides) under uncultured Actinomycetales bacterium. RNAcentral describes it as "bacterial SSU rRNA". It matches the Rfam family "Bacterial small subunit ribosomal RNA", at positions 66 to 778 of the family's 1533-position model. Lineage: Bacteria; Bacillati; Actinomycetota; Actinomycetes; Actinomycetales. The record is from RNAcentral.
ACGGAAAGGCCCUGCUUGCAGGGUACUCGAGUGGCGAACGGGUGAGUAACACGUGGGUGAUCUGCCCUGCACUUCGGGAUAAGCUUGGGAAACUGGGUCUAAUACCGGAUAGGAGCCAUCUUUAGUGUGGUGGUUGGAAAGUUUUUUCGGUGUAGGAUGAGCUCGCGGCCUAUCAGCUUGUUGGUGGGGUAAUGGCCUACCAAGGCGGCGACGGGUAGCCGGCCUGAGAGGGUGUACGGCCACAUUGGGACUGAGAUACGGCCCAGACUCCUACGGGAGGCAGCAGUGGGGAAUAUUGCACAAUGGGCGCAAGCCUGAUGCAGCGACGCCGCGUGGGGGAUGAAGGCCUUCGGGUUGUAAACUCCUUUCGCUAGGGACGAAGCUUUGUGUGACGGUACCUAGAUAAGAAGCACCGGCUAACUACGUGCCAGCAGCCGCGGUAAUACGUAGGGUGCGAGCGUUGUCCGGAAUUACUGGGCGUAAAGAGCUCGUAGGUGGUUUGUCGCGUCGUCUGUGAAAUUCUGGGGCUUAACUCCGGGCGUGCAGGCGAUACGGGCAUAACUUGAGUGCUGUAGGGGUAACUGGAAUUCCUGGUGUAGCGGUGAAAUGCGCAGAUAUCAGGAGGACACCGAUGGCGAAGGCAGGUUACUGGGCAGUUACUGACGCUGAGGAGCGAAAGCAUGGGUAGCGAACAGGAU